AGUCUUAUAUUCAAUAAUGAUAUAAAAUUGCAAAUUUUAAGGGGUAAAUUUACUAAGACUU
RNAcentral lists this transfer RNA (61 nucleotides) under Issikiopteryx taipingensis. RNAcentral's name for it is "tRNA-Cys". Lineage: Eukaryota; Metazoa; Arthropoda; Insecta; Lepidoptera; Lecithoceridae. The record is from RNAcentral.